UACGGAGGUGGCAAGCGUUGUUCGGAAUUACUGGGCGUAAAGGGCGCGUAGGCGGCAUGGCAAGUCAGAUGUGAAAGCCCCGGGCUUAACCUGGGAAUUGCAUCUGAAACUGUUGUGCUUGAGUUCUGGAUGGGGUAGUGGAAUUCCCAGUGUAGCGGUGAAAUGCGUAGAUAUUGGGAGGAACACCUGCGGCGAAGGCGGCUACCUGGACAGAUACUGACGCUCAUGCGCGAGAGCUGGGUUAGCGAACCGGAUUAGA
This 259-nucleotide ribosomal RNA is filed under the name uncultured prokaryote. Its description in RNAcentral is "partial 16S ribosomal RNA". It matches the Rfam family "Bacterial small subunit ribosomal RNA", at positions 524 to 782 of the family's 1533-position model. The record is from RNAcentral.